CGGACGGGUGAGUAACGCGUGGGUAACCUGCCCUGUACAGGGGGAUGACAGUCAGAAAUGACUGCUAAUACCGCAUAAGACCACAGCACCGCAUGGUGCAGGGGUAAAAACUCCGGUGGUACAGGAUGGACCCGCGUCUGAUUAGCUGGUUGGUGAGGUAACGGCUCACCAAGGCGACGAUCAGUAGCCGGCUUGAGAGAGUGAACGGCCACAUUGGGACUGAGACACGGCCCAAACUCCUACGGGAGGCAGCAUG
Molecule: ribosomal RNA, 256 nt
Filed under: uncultured bacterium
Lineage: Bacteria
Description: partial 16S ribosomal RNA
Rfam family: Bacterial small subunit ribosomal RNA
Source: RNAcentral